Molecule: ribosomal RNA, 405 nt
Filed under: uncultured bacterium
Lineage: Bacteria
Description: bacterial SSU rRNA
Rfam family: Bacterial small subunit ribosomal RNA
Source: RNAcentral
UGGGUUUGACAUAUAUUCGACAGCCUCAGAGAUGAGGUUUCCCUUCGGGGCGGAUAUACAGGUGCUGCAUGGCUGUCGUCAGCUCGUGUCGUGAGAUGUUCGGUUAAGUCCGGCAACGAGCGCAACCCACGUCAUUAGUUGCCAGCAGGUAAUGCUGGGCACUCUAAUGAGACUGCUCGUGUUAAGCGGGAGGAAGGCGUGGAUGACGUCAAGUCCGUAUGGCCCUUAUGUCCAGGGCUGCACACGUGCUACAAUGGUCGGUACAAUGGGACGCAAUACUGCGAAGUGGAGCAAAUCCCCAAAACCGGCCCCAGUUCGGAUUGUAGUCUGCAACUCGACUACAUGAAGUCGGAAUCGCUAGUAAAGGCGUAUCAGCAACGGCGCCUUGAAUACGUUCCCGGGUCU